Molecule: transfer RNA, 71 nt
Filed under: Bos taurus (domestic cattle)
Lineage: Eukaryota; Metazoa; Chordata; Mammalia; Artiodactyla; Bovidae
Also listed under: 3 other names
Rfam family: tRNA
About the family: Transfer RNA (tRNA) molecules are approximately 80 nucleotides in length. Their secondary structure includes four short double-helical elements and three loops (D, anti-codon, and T loops).
Source: Rfam by way of RNAcentral
UCUCAAAUGGCUCAGUGGUAAAGAAUCUGCCUGCAAUGCAGGAGACACAGGUUCCAUCCCUAUGUCGGGAA